CUAUGCAGAUCAUGUUUUUCUCCUAUGGUUAUUCACCAUGCCAAAUUUGGUUGUUGUAGGUUAUCGCAGCUUAAGACGCUUAUUAGGAAAUGUGGCAAUUACAGUCGGCAACCCAUGGCACGACAAGUCAUUCACCCCAACAAGCUUGAUAGAGUUGGUGAUGGUCUAAUGGAGCUGCAAAUACUCCGACACUAAUCAAGAACGCAAGAGAAAAAAGAGCUUUUUACAACUUUUUACAGCGACCCACCCCACCCCAACAGGAGGUGACGGGAAGGAUUUGCAGCGGCUAAAACAGCUUGGAAUGGCAACUUGUGGUUGGUUUGAGCAGCAGCAGCAGACGGUUCAACCGUAAAACAAGUUGACGACAAGCUCAAGUUCGCUCAUACAAACUCUGCAAUAUAGACCUUCUAAAUAAGUGAGCCUGGGCUAUCUAACAAAAGAAAAGAACACGAAUGCCAGAAAUCUGGAAAAAUGCAAGAGAUUUCUUCUUUAUCGUCUUUCUUUAAUGCAGUGGUCAAAUGUCCCACAGGUUUUAAUUUAUUCAAAUAUCACAGUAAUUUGUCAGCCUUAGGAGGUCAAAGUGUUCUAUAUUUGUUAAGAAAGGGCAAGCGAUUCUGAAUUGAAUUUUGUCAGAAUUGAAUAAUUUUCGUUGUCCAUGUAUACACUAUAAAAUCGCUAUUUUAGUGACACUGCGUUUAUUUAAAGUUCUGACUCCGUUUGUCCCGUCGUAAUUGUUGCGGUUUCCAUUGUUUUUUUUUCACAAACCUCUUGUCAAGUUUAAGAGAGAAAUUUAAAUGGACUUACUUUUGCAAGCGAACAUGGUCUUGGACUUUAAUCUAUGUGUACUUACAUUGUUUAAUAUCAAGGAAGGGGAUACCAUCGCGACAUAAUCAUUCUAGAAACAACUCGACUUAAUGAAAAACGGGAAAAUAUAGAGCGGUUUAUUAAAACAGUGGAGGCAAGCAAUAAAUAAAUUAAUUAAUACCCCCGAUAAGAGAUAUAUGUUUGGGAAAUAAACUAAGUGAACUAUAA
Molecule: long non-coding RNA, 1032 nt
Organism: Nematostella vectensis (starlet sea anemone)
Lineage: Eukaryota; Metazoa; Cnidaria; Anthozoa; Actiniaria; Edwardsiidae
Exons: 2
Source: RefSeq, a predicted model, not a curated record